GGGUUUCCCUCAAGGAUGUCCCUGGAGAAUCCCUGAGAGGCGUGGGGACCACCUUCCCUGCAAGGAGAUGCCUCCUGAGUGCGUGGUCCUUACUGUCCUCCGCGCUCAGGAAGGUAGUCGUCCAGCUUAGAGAGAGGCCCACCGCCCUUCCGAUGUCCUCAGAUGGGAAAAUCGCAAAGCGCUCUGGGUGCUGCGACCCCUCCCACCGCUGCAGGCCCAGGAGAAGGCAAGGACUACAGCAAACUGCUCUCCACAGAUUCCUGCGUCCGCUGGAAUCUGCUUCUGUUUGACCUCCUCGGCCCUGCAUUAUCCCAACGACAAUGGCAGCUUUAUCUUGGCCUGGUGGUGGUGGUGGCAGCGGCGGCGGCGGCGGCGGCG
Molecule: non-coding RNA, 378 nt
Organism: Peromyscus maniculatus bairdii (prairie deer mouse)
Lineage: Eukaryota; Metazoa; Chordata; Mammalia; Rodentia; Cricetidae
Source: RefSeq, a predicted model, not a curated record